Molecule: long non-coding RNA, 419 nt
Organism: Microplitis mediator
Lineage: Eukaryota; Metazoa; Arthropoda; Insecta; Hymenoptera; Braconidae
Exons: 3
Source: RefSeq, a predicted model, not a curated record
UUCUAUAAGCACUAGAGUUAAUUUAAAAAUAAUUACAUUGUUGUGAUUUAUGACGCAUUGUUACGAUAAGCGAUAUGUCAAACUCAAAUCAAAGUCCAGUAGUUAAUAACUAUUUUUAAUUUUUCUUAAUUAACGCGCAUUUAGAGUAAAACUAGUUAACUUUCUAAUUUAUCAUGAAAAAUAUGUUUUUUACUUGUUUUAUUGUUUUAUAUUUUUAUUUUAUAUCAGGAUGCAUUCGAUUGAGUCCUCAACAUAGGCCUCAAAUUGUUUUUGAAGUUGUCAAGCACAAUGGAGAAAAUGAUUUUGACAUGGGAGUUCAGUCGCAUAUGAACACUUAUGAGUAUAGUGACUCAGUUCAAAAUUUUAAUAAAACUUGAAAAUAUAUAUAUGCAAUACGUCAAAUUCAAAAUGAUAUCUUC